RNAcentral lists this ribosomal RNA (253 nucleotides) under uncultured bacterium. Its description in RNAcentral is "partial 16S ribosomal RNA". It matches the Rfam family "Bacterial small subunit ribosomal RNA", at positions 524 to 776 of the family's 1533-position model. The record is from RNAcentral.
UACGGGGGGGGCAAGCGUUGUUCGGAAUUACUGGGCGUAAAGGGCUCGUAGGCGGCCAACUAAGUCAUACGUGAAAUCCCUCGGCUUAACCGGGGAACUGCGUCCGAUACUGGCGGGCUUGAAUCCGGGAGAGGGAUGCGGAAUUCCAGGUGUAGCGGUGAAAUGCGUAGAUAUUGGGAGGAACACCGGUGGCGAAGGCGGCUCACUGGACCGGUACUGACGCUGAGACGCGAAAGCCAGGGGAGCAAACGGG